RNAcentral lists this ribosomal RNA (238 nucleotides) under uncultured Rhodocyclales bacterium. Its description in RNAcentral is "partial 16S ribosomal RNA". It matches the Rfam family "Bacterial small subunit ribosomal RNA", at positions 97 to 334 of the family's 1533-position model. The record is from RNAcentral. Lineage: Bacteria; Pseudomonadati; Pseudomonadota; Betaproteobacteria; Rhodocyclales.
GGCGAACGGGUGAGUAAUACAUCGGAACGUGUCGAGAAGAGGGGGAUAACCACCCGAAAGGGUGGCUAAUACCGCAUAAAUUCUGAGGAAGAAAGCUGGGGACCUAGGAAUAGGCCUAGCGCUUUUUGAGCGGCCGAUGUCGGAUUAGCUAGUUGGUGAGGUAAAGGCUCACCAAGGCGAAGAUCUGUAGCGGGUCUGAGAGGAUGAUCCGCCACACUGGGACUGAGACACGGCCCAG